GACGAAAGUCUGACGGAGCAACGCCGCGUGAGUGAAGAAGGUUUUCGGAUCGUAAAGCUCUGUCUUCAGGGACGAAUGUGCUUAAUGUGAAUAAUGUUAAGUAAUGACGGUACCUGAGGAGGAAGCCACGGCUAACUACGUGCCAGCAGCCGCGGUAAUACGUAGGUGGCAAGCGUUGUCCGGAAUUACUGGGCGUAAAGCGCGCGCAGGCGGGAAUGUAAGUCUGUCUUAAAAGUUCGGGGCUCAACCCCGUGAUGGGAUGGAAACUACAUUUCUUGAGUGCAGGAGAGGAAAGUGGAAUUCCUAGUGUAGCGGUGAAAUGCGUAGAUAUUAGGAGGAACACCAGUGGCGAAGGCGACUUUCUGGACUGUGUCUGACGCUGAGGCGCGAAAGCCAGGGGAGUGAACGGGAUUAGAUACCCCGGUAAUCCUGGCCGUAAACGAUGGGUACUAGGUGUAGGAGGUAUCGACCCCUUCUGUGCCGGAGUUAACGCAAUAAGUACCCCGCCUGGGGAGUA
Molecule: ribosomal RNA, 517 nt
Filed under: uncultured bacterium
Lineage: Bacteria
Description: bacterial SSU rRNA
Rfam family: Bacterial small subunit ribosomal RNA
Source: RNAcentral